This 497-nucleotide ribosomal RNA is filed under the name uncultured bacterium. RNAcentral describes it as "partial 16S ribosomal RNA". It matches the Rfam family "Bacterial small subunit ribosomal RNA", at positions 28 to 507 of the family's 1533-position model. The record is from RNAcentral.
GAUGAACGCUGGCGGCGUGCCUAAUACAUGCAAGUCGAGCGAACAGACGAGGAUCUUGCUCCUCUGACGUUAGCGGCGGACGGGUGAGUAACACGUGGAUAACCUACCUAUAAGACUGGGAUAACUUCGGGACACCGGAGCUAAUACCGGAUAAUAUAUUGAACCGCAUGGUUCAAUAGUGAAAGACGGCUUUGCUGUCACUUAUAGAUGGAUCCGCGCCGCAUUAGCUAGUUGGUAAGGUAACGGCUUACCAAGGCAACGAUGCGUAGCCGACGUGAGAGGGUGGUCGGCCACACUGGAACGGAGACACGGUCCAGACUCCUACGGGAGGCAGCAGUAGGGAAUCUUCCGCAAUGGGCGAAAGUCUGACGGAGCAACGCCGCGUGAGUGAUGAAGGUCUUCGGAGCGUAAAACCCUGUUAUUAGGGAAGAACAAAUGUGGAAGUAACUAUGCACGUCUUGACGGUACCUAAUCAGAAAGCAACGGCUAACUACGUG